RNAcentral lists this transfer RNA (72 nucleotides) under Marmota monax (woodchuck). Its description in RNAcentral is "tRNA.Ala". Lineage: Eukaryota; Metazoa; Chordata; Mammalia; Rodentia; Sciuridae. The record is from RNAcentral.
UGGGGUUCUAGCUCAGUGGUAGAGCCUUUGCCUGGCAUGCAGAGGCCCUGGUUUCCAUUCCCAAAGCUGCAA